CUGACUGCUCUGAACUUCAGUGCCAGGUGAGUCUCUGGGGACCCAGACUCAUACAGGGAGAAACUGGACUGUCUGGCAGCAGGCAGA
Myotis davidii is the source of this 87-nucleotide non-coding RNA. NCBI's taxonomy places the organism in Eukaryota, Metazoa, Chordata, Mammalia, Chiroptera, Vespertilionidae. The record is from Rfam.